This 500-nucleotide ribosomal RNA is filed under the name uncultured bacterium. Its description in RNAcentral is "partial 16S ribosomal RNA". It matches the Rfam family "Bacterial small subunit ribosomal RNA", at positions 30 to 523 of the family's 1533-position model. The record is from RNAcentral.
AUUGAACGCUGGCGGCAUGCCUUACACAUGCAAGUCGAACGGCAGCACGGGAGCAAUCCUGGUGGCGAGUGGCGAACGGGUGAGUAAUAUAUCGGAACGUGCCCAGUCGUGGGGGAUAACGCAGCGAAAGCUGUGCUAAUACCGCAUACGAUCUACGGAUGAAAGCGGGGGAUCGCAAGACCUCGCGCGAUUGGAGCGGCCGAUAUCAGAUUAGCUAGUUGGGGGGGUAAAGGCCUACCAAGGCGACGAUCUGUAGCUGGUCUGAGAGGACGACCAGCCACACUGGAACUGAGACACGGUCCAGACUCCUACGGGAGGCAGCAGUGGGGAAUUUUGGACAAUGGGCGCAAGCCUGAGCCAGCAAUGCCGCGUGCAGGAUGAAGGCCUUCGGGUUGUAAACUGCUUUUGUACGGAACGAAACGGUGAGCUCUAAUACAGUUUGCUAAUGACGGUACCGUAAGAAUAAGCACCGGCUAACUACGUGCCAGCCGCCGCCGUAA